RNAcentral lists this ribosomal RNA (685 nucleotides) under uncultured Vibrionaceae bacterium. RNAcentral's name for it is "bacterial SSU rRNA". It matches the Rfam family "Bacterial small subunit ribosomal RNA", at positions 1 to 671 of the family's 1533-position model. The record is from RNAcentral. Lineage: Bacteria; Pseudomonadati; Pseudomonadota; Gammaproteobacteria; Vibrionales; Vibrionaceae.
UAGAGUUUGAUCAUGGCUCAGAUUGAACGCUGGCGGCAGGCCUAACACAUGCAAGUCGAGCGGAAACGAGUUGUUUGAACCUUCGGGGGACGACAGCGGCGUCGAGCGGCGGACGGGUGAGUAAUGCCUGGGAAAUUGCCCUGAUGCGGGGGAUAACCAUUGGAAACGAUGGCUAAUACCGCAUGAUAGCUUCGGCUCAAAGAGGGGGACCUUCGGGCCUCUCGCGUCAGGAUAUGCCCAGGUGGGAUUAGCUAGUUGGUGAGGUAAGGGCUCACCAAGGCGACGAUCCCUAGCUGGUCUGAGAGGAUGAUCAGCCACACUGGAACUGAGACACGGUCCAGACUCCUACGGGAGGCAGCAGUGGGGAAUAUUGCACAAUGGGCGCAAGCCUGAUGCAGCCAUGCCGCGUGUAUGAAGAAGGCCUUCGGGUUGUAAAGUACUUUCAGCAGUGAGGAAGAUGGUGUGUUUAAUACGCGCAUCAUUUGACGUUAGCUGCAGAAGAAGCACCGGCUAACUCCGUGCCAGCAGCCGCGGUAAUACGGAGGGUGCGAGCGUUAAUCGGAAUUACUGGGCGUAAAGCGCAUGCAGGUGGUUUGUUAAGUCAGAUGUGAAAGCCCGGGGCUCAACCUCGGAAUAGCAUUUGAAGCUGGCAGACUAGAGUACUGUAGAGGGAGGUAGAAUUUCA